UACGGAGGGUGCAAGCGUUGUUCGGAAUCACUGGGCGUAAAGGGCGUGUAGGCGGGCUUUCAAGUCGGUUGUGAAAUCCCUCAGCUCAACUGAGGAACUGCAUCCGAUACUGUUUGUCUUGAGGACGAGAGGGGAGAGUGGAAUUCCUGGUGUAGCGGUGAAAUGCGUAGAUAUCAGGAGGAACACCGGUGGCGAAGGCGGCUACCUGGACAGAAACUGACGCUGAGGCGCGAAAGCUAGGGGAGCAAACAGG
Molecule: ribosomal RNA, 253 nt
Filed under: uncultured bacterium
Lineage: Bacteria
Description: partial 16S ribosomal RNA
Rfam family: Bacterial small subunit ribosomal RNA
Source: RNAcentral